Molecule: ribosomal RNA, 484 nt
Filed under: uncultured bacterium
Lineage: Bacteria
Description: bacterial SSU rRNA
Rfam family: Bacterial small subunit ribosomal RNA
Source: RNAcentral
GAGUUUGAUCGUGGCUCAGGACGAACGCUGGCGGCGUGCUUAACACAUGCAAGUCGAACGAGGUGCUUGCACCUAGUGGCGAACGGGUGAGUAACACGUGAGCAACCUGCCCCUGGCUCUGGGGUAGCCUCCGGAAACGGGGAUUAAUACCGGACAUUCACUUUCUUCCGCAUGGCGGUGAGUGGAAAGUUUUUCGGCCAGGGAGGGGCUCGCGGCCUAUCAGCUUGUUGGAGGGGUAACGGCCCACCAAGGCGACGACGGGUAGCCGGCCUGAGAGGGCGACCGGCCACACUGGGACUGAGACACGGCCCAGACUCCUACGGGAGGCAGCAGUGGGGGAAUAUUGCGCAAUGGGGGGAAACCCUGACGCAGCGACGCCGCGUGCGGGAUGAAGGCCUUCGGGUUGUAACCGCUUUCACCAGGGACGAAGCGAGAGUGACGGUACCUGGGGAAGAAGCGCCGGCUAACUACGUGCCAGCCGCCG